GUGGCGAACGGGUGAGUAACACGUGAGCAAUCUGCCCUUGACUCUGGGAUAACUGCGGGAAACUGUAGCUAAUACCGGAUACUUUCCUCGCUGGGCAUCCAGCGGGGAAGAAAGAAUUUCGGACAAGGAUGAGCUCGCGGCCUAUCAGCUAGUUGGUGAGGUAAUGGCUCACCAAGGCGACGACGGGUAGCCGGCCUGAGAGGGUGACCGGCCACACUGGAACUGAGACACGGUCCAGACUCCUACGGGAGGCAGCAGUGGGGAAUUUUGCACAAUGGGCGAAAGCCUGAUGCAGCAACGCCUCGUGAGGGAUGAAGGCCUUCGGGUUGUAAACCUCUUUUAGCAGGGAAGAAGCGAAAGUGACGGUACCUGCAGAAAAAGCACCGGCUAACUACGUGCCAGCAGCCGCGGUAAUACGUAGGGUGCAAGCGUUGUCCGGAAUUAUUGGGCGUAAAGAGCUCGUAGGCGGUUUGUCACGUCUGCUGUGAAAAUCCGAGGCUCAACCUCGGACUUGCAGUGGGUACGGGCAGGCUAGAGUGCGGUAGGGGAGAAGGGAAUUCCUGGUGUAGCGGUGGAAUGCGUAGAUAUCAGGAGGAACACCAAUGGCGAAGGCACUUCUCUGGGCCGUAGCUGACGCUGAGGAGCGAAAGCGUGGGGAGCGAACAGGAUUGGAUACCCUGGUAGUCCAC
This 689-nucleotide ribosomal RNA is filed under the name uncultured Microbacteriaceae bacterium. RNAcentral's name for it is "bacterial SSU rRNA". It matches the Rfam family "Bacterial small subunit ribosomal RNA", at positions 95 to 798 of the family's 1533-position model. The record is from RNAcentral. Lineage: Bacteria; Bacillati; Actinomycetota; Actinomycetes; Micrococcales; Microbacteriaceae.